RNAcentral lists this long non-coding RNA (9561 nucleotides) under Citrus sinensis (sweet orange). Its description in RNAcentral is "long non-coding RNA (CSIN_LNC004931)". The record is from RNAcentral. Lineage: Eukaryota; Viridiplantae; Streptophyta; Magnoliopsida; Sapindales; Rutaceae.
UUAACAAUUCUUUUAUUUCUAUUAAACAUAAAAAAAAGGAAAGAAAAAGAAAUGCAAAGAAGUAAGGGAGAUAGAGGAAUACGGGAACUGAGGUCUACCACACAAACAUCUUGAAGCAUUUCGGGAUCACUUUACUUGAGCUCAGUUUCUCCACGUAUCAUAUCCUUUUCAGCAAGGGCUGCCCUUUCAAGUAGUGUUUUGCUCUCUUUCUUCAUUAGCUCACCAGAAAGGUUCAGCUCAUUUACAUUUUUCUCAGCUCUAACAAACAUUGCCUGUGUAUAUAUUCGAACAAUUACUGAAUCACACAAAAUUUUGAACCUGAGAGUUUACCUCAGUUGAAAUGAACAUGUUAAAAAAGAAUUUUAUGCAACUGUUACUUCUAUUAGUAGGUUGAUAGGGUAAAAAUAGCAUCUAUAAAUUAAAAGAGGUACAUGCCUCCUCACUUCGAAGUCGACCAAAGGUAUGACGAAACAAAAAUCUUCUAGGCCCUGCAGUGAAAUCCUCGAGGAAUCAAAUCUUAUAGGAUUUUGGAAUGGCACAUACUGAUACAUUUAAUGCAGCCAAGAAGUAUAAAAUGCAAGAAAAAAGUGUGCAAAGAUGGCCAGGGCAGAACACGUCCAAGGGAUUCCAUAUUCAAAAAUACGCUAGAGAGGCUUAUUUAAAUGGUUGAAACCUAAGAGUGGAUAUAUCUCACUACCAGCACUAGUGACGGGAAAGCUGAACAUAUUCAUCUUUGGACUUCAAAACAGGACAGCAUAAACAAAUAAGGAAACAGUCAUACAAUAUGGUUGAAAUUAUCAAAUUAAACUGAAGUCAAGAGUAACAACCUGCUGCCCAUUGAUGACCAACAUUAAGCAUGCUUAACAUUCUGUUAGACUAAUCAGCAGCAGUAGUGUUCAAGAUCACAACAAAAGUGACAACAAAAAGUGUCAAAGCACUAGCAGUAGCAGCAGCAGCAGCCAUGGUUACAAAAGUUCAAUUAUGAUCUUGUUAUUGCUGCAGGCAAAUAGAAAGAAAGAAUAAAAGAAAUGCUGAGAAAUUAAAUUUUUUUAUCAGCUUAUCCACUCCCACUCCACUCCCCUCGUCCUCGCCAUUUUCUUUCUUCUCUCAACAGUACCACUGCCGAUGAUGACAAGACCGUCGACGACGACAUGGUCAUCGCCAAGUUAUUUAUUUCAUGAUUUCUCUCUUACGCACUCAUACAUAGUUUCCAUGUACUAUGAAAGAAAGACACGUAAACCAUUAGAUUAUCAUUUUCUACUUGUGCUAAUUGACAUCACUGAUCUCAGGCUUUCUUCUAAAACAAAAUCAAAGCAGAAGUAUCUCAUCACAAAGAGUAAGUACACAGCAAAAGUAAGAAUUUUUAUUCAUAAAAGCUUAAACCUUUUUCCGUUUAAUGUAUAUAAUAAAAACAGAGGUACUUCGUUCUCAAAACAACGAGUCAAUCAAAAGCUAACAAACUUUUUCCCCCUAGUGAACCAGUUGCUUAUCUCCUCCAAUAACAUUUUGUUCAUCCAUUCAAAAGAGUAGAUAAGCAAGAUCAUAAAAGAAACACAAAACCCACAAAAACAGAAAUCUUGUACACAUUAAUAUAGAACAAUGACAUAUCUACAAAAAAUAAUGAGGAGAGUGUAAACAGAGGAAGAAGAAAUGUAGGGAAUUACCCUGAAGAGAAGGGGCAAGAUUGAGAGGGAAAAAUUGAGUUGGAUCGAGAGCAGGCUCAACCGCAAGGGAGAGGAAGCGAAACCUGUAUUGUUGAGCUGAGCCAGCGAGAUGAUGGAAUGCAAUGGGAUGGAUGGUAGAGGGUUGCUUGCGCCCAAAAGCGAUGAUUCACUGCGGUUCCCUCCAGUCCGUUCCAUUCCCGGGUUGGGUUAGGGGAACAUUCGAGCGAUUGCCUUCGCGGAUCCAAACGCGCUCGUCGGUACGCUUUCCGGCUCGCAACGACUCAAAUGGGUGAGUCUUCUUCGUUUUCCUUUCUCCUUCGGGUAGUUGAAGAGAGACAAGAUUGAGAGGGAAAAAUUGAGUUAGAUAGUAAAAGAUUGUGUUGGAUUGUAAGAGAAAGAUAAGAGAGGAGUGGCUGAGAGAAGAGUCGGGGUUGAUAAGACGACGCAGUAAGAUUAGAGUUUUGUGAAUUUGGUGAAGUUAGGGUUUUUUAGAUUUGGGGAGUUUAGGAGGGACAAGAUAGAUUAAAAAUUUUGUCUAAAUUAAAAGUUUAAAAAAUAAUGUUUGGUUUAGUAGUUAGUUUUCUAAACUAGAAAAUUUGAGAUUUGGACGUCCUGGUCUUUUGUUCGGAACUUAAACGCCUCGGUUCGAGUUUUAUUUGGAACUUAAUUAGAAUUACUUUAUUUUUAUUACUGAUACUUUAAUGUCAGAAAUCUCUGAUGUUUAAGUUACAGACACUAUAGUAUCAGUAAUUUGUGAUAUUUUUAUGUUAAACACGAAAAAUGGUUCAUAUGUGUGAACAUACUGAUACUUUUUAAAAAUUGUCACAAACUGAGUGUCAAUAAAGACCAUUUUUCUAGUAGUGUUUCUUCCAAGAAACCAAAUGAGGUGGUCUAUGGGAAGGCAUGAUAAUCUUCAAUCCCUCCCGAAUUUGAGUGUCCAAGAUGCCCCUCAAUUGAGAUGUCUUGAAACCAAAUGCGUCACUGACUAGCCUAAUAUCCAGGAGCACUUUAAAAAUAACAGUGUUCACAUUAAAGGCAACUGAAUCAUACCUGAAAGUGUUUCGAGCCUUCCAAACAUGCCAUAGAAUGAAACAUGGGAGAAUGACUCGAAUGUGUUUUGAAGAACGGCAACUCCGUCGCCAAUGACUAAGCAAAGCAUGAGGAGAUAAAAAAGGAAGAUACGGACGACCAAUCAUUGAGUAAAACCGCCGCCAAACCUGUUGAACCACUGGGCAAUCCAAAAAUAAGUGUCUGAUAGUCUCAACAUCCCGAUUACAAAGACACCGAGAAAUCAUGUGAAAACCCCUAAGGCACAAAGCAUCAUUCGUGGCCAAGAAACCAUUCAAUAAACGCCACAAGAAAAAAGAAACCCUCGAAGGAAUAUGUCGUUGCCAAAUUAAAGAAAAAACCUCAUUCUGGCUACGAGACCCACGUACAAAUUCCCAACUACUCCUUAGAGAAAAAUUCCCAUCCCUAGAUAUGGCCCAACGGAGAAUAUCUAGCCCAGUACCAGAAAUAGGUACUAAUACAAUUUGUUCAACAACUGAUAUAAAGCAUUGCAUUAUAACGGAGAAUAUCUAGCCCAGUACCAGAAAUAGGUAUGUUAGGGUGUUUAAGGGUAUGAGAAGUCCAAAAUAAUUCUGCCCAGUACUGUAGGAAUUGCUGUAGCAACUGGUGUUAAUUUGAACAAAAAUAGUCAGCCCAUGAACAGAGUUUGAUCAUUCAACUACUUCAUUCUCAUUAAAUUCUUUUUAUGCAAUUCAUCUAGUUUACUUCAUUACUGCAUUUAUUUGUUUUAUUUUCUUACAAUUGUUAAUUUCAGUAGUAAUCAACUUUAACUAGAUUCCUCUUGAACUAAAGGAAGUUUGCACUAUCGUGAUUGCUGUAGCAUUUCUAGUAACAUCAGUCCCUGUGGAGACGAUCUUAAAUAUUCAUCACUUUAUUACUUGUUGUGUACACUUGCACAUUGACAUUAAUAGCAAUUGAGUAUAAAUAACCAACAAAAAGAGAAUUAAAGAUUUAAACUAAGGGCUACAACAAGGAGAAUUUGUAGAAAUCAAUAAGGAAUUCAACCCUUUUUAUUCUUCUCUUGUUUUCUAUUUAUUCAUUGGGAUGUAUUUAAUGACUGAAACUCAUUUAUUUAUUGUUCUUUCGCAAACCAUGAACUAAUUUAAUUGUGGUUGAGUGAUAGAUAAUCUUAAUGGUUUUUUGACUAAGUUUAUAUGUUGCUGCAUGUUUGCUAUAGCAUUUUGUUUUGGUAAAGCUUAUUCUAUUCAUUAUUUCGGUUGACCACCCAUUUAAUGAUACAAGCUAAGAAAGAGCCACAAAAUGGCCUAUCUUAAUGGAACAUAUAAGAGCAAUACUUGAUUUUAGAUUUGGUUUCCUGAGUUGAGUUUCACUUGAUUCCAAAAGGGUCAUGCUUAAUCUAAAAUUAGUGAUGAACUAGACAUAAGGAUUCACCUUUUAGGGUAAAUAUAUUUUAAGUGUGUAAUGUUAUAUCUUAUGUUGGCAUAACAAUUGGUCACUAUUCGGUUGCAUAUAGAUAUAAGACAUCCAACAUGCCAUAGCUAAGGAUAUAUAAGGAUUUUGCCUAGUGCUGUAGCAGAUGCUAUAGCAACUGAACCGGAAAUUACAAGAAAUAAUCAAAACUAUUAAAAAAGUUUAAUCACUCAACUACUUCAUUCCCAUUGUUUACUUUUGUGUUUGACGUGAGAAUUUAAUUUAUUGAAUUUUUAAUUAUUGCAUUUUAUAUUUUAGUUAGUUAUUUAAUUUUAUCAAUUUUCUUAUUUAAAUUUAGAACCAUUGCACUGUUACAAAUUGAUGUAUUAAAUCUGGUAACAUCAAUCCACGUGUAGAUGAUCUUGAAUACUUAUUAUUAUAUUACUUAUUGUGUACACUUGUACAUUGACACCAAUAGCAUUUGAAUUCACAAUAACACUCAACCACAUUGGUUCUACGCUACAACUCUAACAAUGAUAUGUCAUACAAGCAUGAAUCCUCAAAAUUACAUAUCAAUCAUUUGAGUUUUGAGUUCAUACUUAUCAUUCUCCACUUUGAACUCAUAACUUUAACUACUCUCGUCAGCUAUCUUCCUCAACACUUGUAGCCAUUAAAACCUACAAAUCUUUGUUAAGUCAUGCGAAGAUUAAACUUAGCAGAUGGUACAACUUUGGUAAGCAUAUCAGCUUGAUUUUCUUAUGUAUGUAUCUUCAUAAGCUUCACACAUUUUGUUAAUACUUCUAAUCUUAUAAAAUACAACUUCACAUCAAUAUGCUUUAUUCUCUCAUUUGAUUUCUGAGUUGAUCUUUUGAAACUGUCCCUUGAAGACUUCCUUAGAACAUAGUCCUUACAAAGUUCCAGUGUAACACUCCACUAUAUUAUUUACUUAAAAUACUUAAAAACACGGUUACUUUUAAUAUAAAUACGAAUUCUAAGAGUUUACAACAAACAAACCUUUUUUACAAAAAGUAAGAGUCAUACAGAAACUCCUUAGUAUAAAAACUUUAUUUUAUACAAAACUAAGAUGUUUAUUUUUAUUGAAACAAAGCUGAGCCCAUUAUAAAAUCCCAAGGUCUAUCAUGCCCAUAUGCACUUCGUCUUGAUUAGGACUUGGCGCCAGCUUGCCCUACUCAUCGUUACUUGCAAUGUAAGGACUUAGUGUGCUAAUGCCCAGUAAGAUAACACUUUGAUGCAUGUAUAAAUUAUGAUGUAUAUAGAUGACCAUAGUAAGCUCUUAAAAUAAACUUAGAAAAUACAAAACAACUUUAUUAGGGCCCUAGGUAUGUUGCACUACAAGGCUGACACUUUUAUUCUUUAAACAAUAUGCCCUUAGGUCUCAUUAAUUGAUCUUUUGGGUGUUAUGUAUUGCCGUCCCCAAAAGAUUUCUUUUAACUUAGCUUUGAGGGGUUGCCCUCCUUAGAACUUUGCCACCUGGUAGUACAACUACCUAUUUUUCAUAAAUUCAUUUUUCUGAAACAUCUUCUUCAUAAUGUAACUUAUGUCCUAACAUUUGAGCUCCUAAAUGCAUAACAGAAUUAACACACAACACUAUUUAAGAACAACAUUCUUCAAUACAGGCAGCAUAGCCGACUAUAGCAUAAUUAAAUAUAAGUAUCACAUAUUAGGUGGCAGAGCCGACCAUUUAAGGAUUUAGAAUAUAACUAAUCAUGUUAUAAUAGCCAUCAUAAUAUAAAGGAAUUGUUAACACCGAACUUAAGUAUGAAAUGAAUUUUGUCCCUACAUUGCAGUUGAAGUGUUACUUACCUCUUGACCUUGACUUCUCUAGACCUUUCUAAAUUGAUGAUUUCUCUACUCUUGAUAUUAUGACUUAGAAUAGAAGAGAAUGAAAUUUAUAGGUUGGAUUGAAAAUGAAAGGUGGUUGGGGUAUUUAUAGGAUUUCUUAAGGCUAAUAGAUGGUUAGGAUUUUGCCACCAUAACUCUUGAUCAAUGGUUGAGAUUAACCUUCAUAAAUAACUUACUAAAUUCUAUAAUUCUUAACUUUCUCUACACUUCUUCUUACAUCAUCGCUUAUGUCAUCGCUUACGUCAUCAUUUCUUAUGUCAUUGCUUAUGUCAUCAUUAAUUAAAUAUUAUAAACUUAAGGGGCUUGUUAGCUUAAAAAAAUAAAUUCUACUAUAUUUAAGAAAAUUGUACCUCACAUCCAGAUUUAUAAUCUUGUCAGAACAAAACAUACCCUGUUUUUCUAACUUUUUUAAGCCUUUCCCACUCGUGUUAUAAUCUCAUAUGCCAUAACCUAGUUUUAUCUUCAGUACGCUUUAUUGAUACACAUGCCUCUCCAAAUAUCACUUCAUCAUCCAAGAUAUAAAACCUGUUCUACCUAGUCCCCUUCAUGACCAGAUUAGAACCAUUUAAGAUAUAUAACUGUCUUGAUUCAAGCCUAACGCUACACCCCAUUUGAUAUAACAUUCCAAGGGAAAUUAAGUUCCUUUUUAAGUUUGGUACAUGCCUGACUUGCUUAACCACUCUUAUUGAAUCAUCAUGUAGCUUAAGACUAAGAUUACCAAUUCUAAUGAUUUUACAAAUUGAAUUGUUACCCAUCAUCAUUCUCCCACUAUCAAAUUCUUGUUAUUCAGUAAAGUAACUCUUAAAAGGGACAUAUGUGAAAUGUGCAUACAAAGUCUAGAGCCCAUUUACCUUUUUAGCUAUGUUCUAUUGCCACACAUACACUAGUAGACUCAUAACUUUCCUCUUCCACUACAGCUGCAUCUCCACCUUAGUUUCUUGAAUCUUUGGCCUUGUUUUUUUUUUUUUCUUUCAAGGCAAUCCCUUUUAAAGUGGCAUUUUUUGUGGCACUGAAAAAUACUUCAGAUUUUUAGUUUUAUUAUUUUAUUUCACGUACUUCUUUUUUUUGCCUAUCUUCCCCUUUGUUGUCAAUCAUUCACUCGUACCAUUCUCUAUGUGAACUUACUUUUCUUGGAGCUCCCUUGUAUUGAGAGCAUAUUUCAUUUCAUCAAGGGUCAAGGUUUAUCUACCAUACACCAGGGCAUCAACUAAAUUCUCAAAGGAUUUUGGUAAUGAACUAAUCAAUAAGAGAGCCUUCCCUUCAACAUCAAUGGCUUUUAAAAUAUCACACACCUUAUUGAACUUAUCAGUGUGAUCUUUCAGUGAAGAUCGCUCCACUAUUCUCAAGGUAAACAUCCUCUUUUUAAUAUAGAGCUUGUUUGCACGAGACUUGGUCAUAUAGAGGCAUUCAAGCUUAGUCCAUAAACCAGCUAUUGUUUUUUCUUUUGCCACUUCCCUAAUGACUAAAUCACCAAGACUAAGGAUUAUAGUGCUUAUGGAUUUCUUAUCAAUUUUAGUAGCUUAUUCUGGAGUCCUGGAUGAAGAAGCUUUUAUUCCCUCCUUCUUGGUCUCAGGCUCAAUUACAUUUACCAAACCUUGAGUAAUCGACAAAGUUUCCAUUUUAAUAUUCCAUAUAUUAAAAUCAUUAUUACCUGUAAAUUUCUCUAUAUCAACCUUGGAUGAUGCCGUACUUGGAUCUGAUCAAAAGACACUAAGCUCUGAAACUAAUUGUAGUAAGAAACUUGUUUUUAAAGUAAACAAAACUGAUCACUGCCCAAGAUCUCUUUGAUCAAAUAAAUUCAAGUUGCACAAAUACAAGAUUAAACAUAUCAAAUCAUUAUCAAUACAUCAACAAGAAUCGAUCAAUAAGCUUUUAGAUAAGCUUUUAUUGAUUCAAUAAUAGAGUCGGUUAUAGAGCCUUACACCAGAACAAGAUAAUGAUUUCUCUUUCUUAAAUCUCUUUCUCCAAGACUUUAGAAUCACACCUGAAGAUAACUAUCAAAACCAGCUUAUAUACCUUACUUCAAUAACAGACUUAUUUCCAGAUUGUACAGUUUGUUAACACGUGGUUAACAAACUUAACUAAUAUGAAAUCAAGCUCCAGCACAUGUUUCCUCACGCGGUUACUUAAACUAUUGACCAAAACACACAAUUGGCAUGUCGUUUCGUGAAGACAUUUUUCUGUUAUAUGUAAUAUGAGUAGCACGUGACUUUAUAAAGCUUCUCAAGUCUCAAACAUUGUCAUUUUCUAGAGAAUUGGUUUGAUUCACCGGCCAUCUUCAUAUCACCUUUAUUAUUACAUGUGAUAAUGAAUUUUUCUUGUAAAUUGUUUUCAUUCCUUAUCAUAAAUGUUUGCUUAUCUACCUUUUCUGAACGCUCACUACUAGAAAAAUGAUCUUUACUGACGUUAGAAUAGUGUCAGUAAUUACUUUCACUGACACUUGCUAAUUGUGUCAGUAAACUGACAGUCAGAAAAAUAGUGACACUUGUAAGUGGUGUCAGUAAUUACUAUUACUACAGUAUUACUAUAUUUAUGACACUAUGGUAUUAGUAGUUAUUGAUAUUUUAUUAGUGUUUGUGAUUACUGUUACUAUUGCAUCACUGUUUAAUUUAUUUUAAAAAAAUAAAAAUUUGAAUUGGUUGUUGAUUUAUUGGUGAAAUUAAAAAACACCACAAAAUAACCACAAAAAAACUUGAUAUAUAUUACAAAAUCUUUAAUUUCUUAUUUAAAUAUUAUUAGUAUAUAUUACAAAUCCCAAAUACUUCAAAAAACAAGAUAUCCUAUUCUCGCAACUAAAUAAUCUUAAAUACAUAAGAAUUUCUACCAUCCAAUCAAAUGCCUACUAAUUGCGGCUACAUUUAACAAAUUUAGAAGCUAAAUUGAUAAGAAUGACUGCCUUUCACUCUUUAAACAUAAGUAGUGCAUUUGUGUUAUCACACUAGCAGUUUCUCUGUAAUGUUGCUUCAGCUGAAAGCUCAUGAAAUAAGAAAUUCUUGUCUUCUUGAUUAGGAGACUUGGGAAGGGGAUCUGCAAAGAGUAGCUGCUGCCCUGGAAAGUGCUCCUGCCUAGUGAUUUUGUGUGCCCAUAAUAUUGAACUUGAGAUGAGCCGGCCUGCACGCCUGCAUUGCUAUAAAAACGCUCAUAUAAUUGCUUCUGUGGAGCUUUGGACCGCCAAGAUAUGAACACAACCACAGUGCCAUUUAUUGCAUAAAAUAUAAAUGCCACGCUAACUUGACUAAUUUUACAAAUUUGGUGAUGAUGCAUUUAAGAUUAUGGUUUAAAAGAAUAAUUCAAAGACAACAGUUUCAAUUGCCAGAUUAACAAUUCUUUUAUUUCUAUUAAACAUAAAAAAAAGGAAAGAAAAAGAAAUGCAAAGAAGUAAGGGAGAUAGAGGAAUACGGGAACUGAGGUCUGCCACACAAACAUCUUGAAGCAUUUCGGGAUCACUUUACUUGAGCUCAGUUUCUCCACGUAUCAUAUCCUUUUCAGCAAGGGCUGCCCUUUCAAGUAGUGUUUUGCUCUCUUUCUUCAUUAGCUCACCAGAAAGGUUCAGCUCAUUUACAUUUUUCUCAGCUCUAACAAACAUUGCCUGUGU